RNAcentral lists this long non-coding RNA (524 nucleotides) under Salmo salar (Atlantic salmon). RNAcentral describes it as "lncRNA (ENSSSAG00000093785.1)". Lineage: Eukaryota; Metazoa; Chordata; Actinopteri; Salmoniformes; Salmonidae. The record is from RNAcentral.
UGGAGGCUAUAUACAGGGUAUUACGGUACAGAGUCAAUGUGGAGGCUAUAUACAGGGGGUACUGGUACAGAGUCAAUGUGGAGGCUAUAUACAGGGGGUACCGAUACAGAGUCAAUGUGGAGGCUUUAUACAGGGGGUACCGUACAGAGUCAAUGUGGAGGCUAUAUACAGGGUAUUACGGUACAGAGUCAAUGUGGAGGCUAUAUACAGGGUAUUACGGUACAGAGUCAAUGUGGAGGCUAUAUACAGGGGGUACCGGUACAGAGUCAAUGUGGAGGCUAUAUACAGGGGGUACCGGUACAGAGUCAAUGUGGAGGCUAUAUACAGGGGUUACCGGUACAGAGUCAAUGUGGAGGCUAUAUACAGGGGGUACCGGUACAGAGUCAAUGUGGAGGCUAUAUACAGGGGGUACCGGUACAGAGUCAAUGUGGAGGCUAUAUACAGGGGGUACCGGUACAGAGUCAAUGUGGAGGCUAUAUACAGGAGUUACCGGUACAGAGUCAAUGUGGAGGCUAUAUACAGGG